AUUGAACGCUGGCGGCAGGCCUAACACAUGCAAGUCGAACGGUAACAGGAAGAAGCUUGCUUCUUUGCUGACGAGUGGCGGACGGGUGAGUAAUGCCUGGGAAACUGCCUGAUGGAGGGGGAUAACUACUGGAAACGGUAGCUAAUACCGCAUAACGUCGCAAGACCAAAAAGGGGGACCUUCGGGCCUCUUGCCAUCGGAUGUGCCCAGAUGGGAUUAGCUAGUAGGUGGGUAACGGCUCACCUAGGCGACGAUCCCUAGCUGGUCUGAGAGGAUGACCAGCCACACUGGAACUGAGACACGGUCCAGACUCCUACGGGAGGCAGCAGUGGGGAAUAUUGCACAAUGGGCGCAAGCCUGAUGCAGCCAUGCCGCGUGUAUGAAGAAGGCCUUCGGGUUGGUUAAAGUAC
Molecule: ribosomal RNA, 410 nt
Filed under: uncultured bacterium
Lineage: Bacteria
Description: bacterial SSU rRNA
Rfam family: Bacterial small subunit ribosomal RNA
Source: RNAcentral